This 88-nucleotide transfer RNA is filed under the name Ignisphaera aggregans. RNAcentral describes it as "tRNA-Ser". It matches the Rfam family "tRNA". Rfam says of the family: Transfer RNA (tRNA) molecules are approximately 80 nucleotides in length. Their secondary structure includes four short double-helical elements and three loops (D, anti-codon, and T loops). RNAcentral also lists the same sequence under 2 other names. The record is from RNAcentral. Lineage: Archaea; Thermoproteati; Thermoproteota; Thermoprotei; Desulfurococcales; Desulfurococcaceae.
GCCGGGGUGCCCGAGCGGUCUAAGGGGCCGGCCUUGAGAGCCGGUGCGGGAUAUCCGCACGCGGGUUCAAAUCCCGCCCCCGGCGCCA